RNAcentral lists this ribosomal RNA (806 nucleotides) under Klebsiella pneumoniae. Its description in RNAcentral is "bacterial SSU rRNA". It matches the Rfam family "Bacterial small subunit ribosomal RNA", at positions 642 to 1418 of the family's 1533-position model. The record is from RNAcentral. Lineage: Bacteria; Pseudomonadati; Pseudomonadota; Gammaproteobacteria; Enterobacterales; Enterobacteriaceae.
AAGAUUAUUUGUAGAGGAGAGGUAGAAUUUCCAGGGGGUAGCCGGUGAAUAUGAGUUAGAGAUUCUGGAGGAAUACCCGCUUGCCGAAGGCAGUCCAUCCGGGCUAAAUCACCCACGCUUCAGGUACGAAAGCCAUGCGUAGCAAACCAGGAUUAGAUACCUCCGGUAGUCCGUCUCUCCUAAACGAUUUUCUAUUAUUUGGUCGGGUCCCCCGAGGGAUUGCCUUCCUCCUCUACCGCGCUCAAUCCCUCCACCUGGGGAGUGAGUUUCGCAAGGAUGAAUACGGGUAUUAAUGAAUCGGGGGUGGACACGCACAAGUGGUGCAGCAUGUGCCCUAAUUUGAUGCAACGCGAAGACCCUUACCUGGUCUCGACAUCCACAGAACUUAGCAGAGAUGGAUUGGUGCCUUCGGGAACUGUCAGACAGGUGCUGCAUGGCUGUCGUCAGCUCGUGUCGUGAAAUGUUGGGUUAAGUCCCGCAACGAGCGCAACCCUUAUCCUUUGUUGCCAGCGGUUAGGACGGGAACUCAAAGGAGACUGCCAGUGAUAAACUGGAGGAAGGUGGGGAUGACGUCAAGUCAUCAUGGCCCUUACGACCAGGGCUACACACGUGCUACAAUGGCAUAUACAAAGAGAAGCGACCUCGCGAGAGCAAGCGGACCUCAUAAAGUAUGUCGUAGUCCGGAUUGGAGUCUGCAACUCGACUCCAUGAAGUCGGAAUCGCUAGUAAUCGUAGAUCAGAAUGCUACGGUGAAUACGUUCCCGGGCCUUGUCCACCCCGCCCGUCACACCAUGGGAGUGGGUUGC